AAUACCCCAUAGACUAUGGAAGCUGGAAUGCUCUGUAGCCGAAAGGUUUACCGCCACAGGAUGAGUCUGCGGCCGAUUAGGUUGUUGUUGGGGUAACGGCCCAACAAGCCUGUAAUCGGUACGGGUUGUGGGAGCAAGAGCCCGGAGAUGGAUUCUGAGACACGAAUCCAGGCCCUACGGGGCGCAGCAGGCGCGAAAACUUUGCAAUGCGGGAAACCGUGACAAGGGAACUCCGAGUGCCCGUAAAUUCGGGCUGUCCAUCAGUUUAAAUAACUGGUGAAGAAAGGGCCGGGCAAGACCGGUGCCAGCCGCCGCGGUAAUACCGGCGGCUCGAGUGGUGGCCACUAUUACUGGGCUUAAAGCGUCCGUAGCUGGUCUGUUAAGUCUCUGGGGAAAUCUACCGGCUUAACCGGUAGGCGUCUCAGGGAUACUGGCAGACUAGGGACCGGGAGAGGUGAGGGGUACUCCAGUGGUAGGAGUGAAAUCCUGUAAUCCUUGGGGGACCACCUGUGGCGAAGGCGCCUCACCAGAACGGCUCCGACAGUGAGGGACGAAAGCUGGGGGAGCAAACCGGAUUAGAUACCCGGGUAGUCCCAGCUGUAAACGAUGCGCGUUAGGUGUAUCGGUGACCACGAGUCACCGAGGUGCCGAAGGGAAACCGUGAAACGUGCCGCCUGGGAAGUACGGUCGCAAGGCUGAAACUUAAAGGAAUUGGCGGGGGAGCACCACAACGGGUGGAGCCUGCGGUUUAAUCGGACUCAACGCCGGGAAACUCACCGGAUAAGACAGCUGUAUGAUUGCCGGGCUGAAGACUCUGCAUGACUAGCUGAGAGGAGGUGCAUGGCCGUCGUCAGUUCGUACUGUGAAGCAUCCUGUUAAGUC
Molecule: ribosomal RNA, 882 nt
Filed under: uncultured archaeon
Lineage: Archaea
Description: bacterial SSU rRNA
Rfam family: Archaeal small subunit ribosomal RNA
Source: RNAcentral